CAAGGCAAGGCAAGUUUAUUUAUAUAGCACAUUUCGUACACAAUGGUAAUUCAAAGUGCUUUACAUAAAAUAAAGUAAAAUAAUAAUGAAGAAAAAUAAUAAGAAUAAAACAAGCAAUUUUAAAACUUUUAAAAUUUUAAAAAAAAUUACUUAUUUAAAAUGAAUUUAAAACAUGCUCAUUCAAUAAAUGCACAGCUAAACAGAUGAGUUUUAAGUCUAGAUUUAAAUGUGACUAGUGUUUUAGCACAUCUGAUCUCUUCUGGAAGCUGAUUCCAACUGCGGGCGGCAUAGUAACUAAAGGAGGACUCCCCUUGUUUUGUGCGAACCCUUGGUAUUUCUAACUGACUCAAUCCUAAUGAUCUGAGU
Carassius carassius (crucian carp) is the source of this 366-nucleotide long non-coding RNA. RefSeq lists it as uncharacterized. The record is from RefSeq and is a predicted model, not a curated record. The transcript is spliced from 2 exons. NCBI's taxonomy places the organism in Eukaryota, Metazoa, Chordata, Actinopteri, Cypriniformes, Cyprinidae.